GGGCCCGCACAAGCGGUGGAGCAUGUGGUUUAAAUUCGAUGCAACGCGAAGAACCUUACCUACUCUUGACAUCCAGAGAAGCCAGCGGAGACGCAGGUGUGCCUUCGGGAGAUCUGAGACAGGUGCUGCAUGGCUGUCGUCAGCUCGUGUUGUGAAAUGUUGGGUUAAGUCCCGCAACGAGCGCAACCCUUAUCCUUGUUUGCCAGCGAGUAAUGUCGGGAACUCCAGGGAGACUGCCGGUGAUAAACCGGAGGAAGGUGGGGACGACGUCAAGUCAUCAUGGCCCUUACAUCCUGGGCUACACACGUACUACAAUGCUACGGACAAAGGGCAGCAAACUCGCGAGAGCUAGCAAAUCCCAUAAACCGUGGCUCAGUUCAGAUCGUAGGCUGCAACUCGCCUACGUGAAGGCGGAAUCGCUAGUAAUCG
Molecule: ribosomal RNA, 429 nt
Filed under: uncultured bacterium
Lineage: Bacteria
Description: bacterial SSU rRNA
Rfam family: Bacterial small subunit ribosomal RNA
Source: RNAcentral